CGGGGUAGGACCUGCCCCCCAUAGUCUGGGAUACCACUUGGAAACAGGUGCUAAUACCGGGAUAAGAAAGCAGAUCGCAUGAUCAGCUUUUAAAAAGGCGGCGUAAGCUGUCGCUAUGGGAUGGCCCCGCGGUGCAUUAGCUAGUUGGUAAGGUAAAGGCUUACCAAGGCGAUGAUGCAUAGCCGAGUUGAGAGACUGAUCGGCCACAUUGGGACUGAGACACGGCCCAAACUCCUACGGGAGGCAGCAGUAGGGAAUCUUCCACAAUGGACGCAAGUCUGAUGGAGCGAACGCCGCGUGAGUGAAGAAGGUUUUCGGAUCGUAAAGCUCUGUUGUUGGUGAAGAAGGAUAGAGGUAGUAACUGGCCUUUAUUUGACGGUAAUCAACCAGAAAGUCACGGCUAACUACGUGCCAGCAGCCGCGGUAAAU
Molecule: ribosomal RNA, 429 nt
Filed under: uncultured Lactobacillus sp.
Lineage: Bacteria; Bacillati; Bacillota; Bacilli; Lactobacillales; Lactobacillaceae
Description: bacterial SSU rRNA
Rfam family: Bacterial small subunit ribosomal RNA
Source: RNAcentral